RNAcentral lists this ribosomal RNA (561 nucleotides) under Colletotrichum gloeosporioides. Its description in RNAcentral is "eukaryotic LSU rRNA". The stretch from base 201 to 354 matches the Rfam family "5.8S ribosomal RNA". The record is from RNAcentral. Lineage: Eukaryota; Fungi; Ascomycota; Sordariomycetes; Glomerellales; Glomerellaceae.
CGUUGGUGAACCAGCGGAGGGAUCAUUACUGAGUUUACGCUCUACAACCCUUUGUGAACAUACCUAUAACUGUUGCUUCGGCGGGUAGGGUCUCCGCGACCCUCCCGGCCUCCCGCCUCCGGGCGGGUCGGCGCCCGCCGGAGGAUAACCAAGCUCUGAUUUAACGACGUUUCUUCUGAGUGGUACAAGCAAAUAAUCAAAACUUUUAACAACGGAUCUCUUGGUUCUGGCAUCGAUGAAGAACGCAGCGAAAUGCGAUAAGUAAUGUGAAUUGCAGAAUUCAGUGAAUCAUCGAAUCUUUGAACGCACAUUGCGCCCGCCAGCAUUCUGGCGGGCAUGCCUGUUCGAGCGUCAUUUCAACCCUCAAGCUCUGCUUGGUGUUGGGGCCCUACAGCCGAUGUAGGCCCUCAAAGGUAGUGGCGGACCCUCCCGGAGCCUCCUUUGCGUAGUAACUUUACGUCUCGCACUGGGAUCCGGAGGGACUCUUGCCGUAAAACCCCCCAAUUUUCCAAAGGUUGACCUCGGAUCAGGUAGGAAUACCCGCUGAACUUAAGCAUAUCA